This 373-nucleotide ribosomal RNA is filed under the name uncultured Glomeromycotina. RNAcentral's name for it is "LSU rRNA". The record is from RNAcentral. Lineage: Eukaryota; Fungi; Glomeromycota.
UUGAAAGGGAAACGAUUGAAGUCAGUCAUACCAACCGGGAAAUCAACCUCUUGAGCUCGGUCUCGUGGGUUUUGAAGAGUUUCAAAACCUUCGGAUUCGCGAGAUUGGGAUCUCUUGGUGUACUUUUUCGUACGGUUAGUCACCAUCGGUUUUGUAUGUCAUAAAAUGCCUGGAGGAAUGUAGCUUCGAUCUUGUAUUGAAGUGUUAUACCCUUUGGUAAAUGUGAUGAUUGGGAUCGAGGAUUGCAACGAAUACCCUUUUGGGCUAUCCGCCUGAUCUCUGAUACGUGCCUUGGCAUCGAAAGCUUGCUUAUGGUAUCAAGGUAUUACGGUCAAAAGCUAGAACCGAUNCAUUCGUUAAGGAUGUUGACGUA